This is a long non-coding RNA of Anolis sagrei ordinatus, 460 nucleotides long. RefSeq lists it as uncharacterized. Lineage: Eukaryota; Metazoa; Chordata; Lepidosauria; Squamata; Anolidae. The record is from RefSeq and is a predicted model, not a curated record.
GAUUUAUAGAAACACUCUUUCAAACUGCCCACAAAUGAAUACAAAUGGAACCAUUGAAUAUGUGAAAUGCUCUUCUGUGGCUGCCUGGGUUUGUAAAAGGAGUGUAGAUGCCAAAAUGUUUUGGGAAUACCCUGGUUGGAUACUCAUCAUGCCUUUGGGAAACAAAAUGUAUAACCAUAAAGAACAUGCAGAGUCAGCAUGCUUCUUAGAAGAAACAUGUACCGGAGUCACCUACUGGAAGGAGAAAUAUGUACCAGUCAGUGGUGAAGAACUGAUUUUACCAAUGUCAAAACGUGAUUCUACAUAUAUAAAAACUGCUUGCAGUGAAGGACAUUAUGGAUCCUAUUGUCAGAGAAGAUGCCCAGACUGUCCAAAAGAUAGACCAUGCAAUAGAUUGUUAGGACAAUGUGCUGGUGAGGUGACUUGUCUAGAAAAAAAUUCUUUGGCACGCUGUGAAAUU